UACGGGGGGGGGCAAGCGUUGUUCGGAUUUACUGGGCGUAAAGGGCGCGCAGGCGGCAGACCAAGUCAGGCGUGAAAUCCCCGGGCUUAACCUGGGAACUGCGUUUGAAACUACAAGGCUAGAGUGUGGCAGAGGGGGGGUGGAAUUCCACGUGUAGCAGUGAAAUGCGUAGAGAUGUGGAGGAACACCGAUGGCGAAGGCAGCCCCCUGGGUUAACACUGACGCUCAGGCACGAAAGCGUGGGGAGCAAACAGG
This 255-nucleotide ribosomal RNA is filed under the name uncultured bacterium. RNAcentral describes it as "partial 16S ribosomal RNA". It matches the Rfam family "Bacterial small subunit ribosomal RNA", at positions 524 to 776 of the family's 1533-position model. The record is from RNAcentral.